RNAcentral lists this small nucleolar RNA (78 nucleotides) under Sus scrofa (pig). RNAcentral's name for it is "Small nucleolar RNA SNORA69 (ENSSSCG00005000635.1)". It matches the Rfam family "Small nucleolar RNA SNORA69", at positions 55 to 132 of the family's 132-position model. Rfam says of the family: U69 is a member of the H/ACA class of small nucleolar RNAs (snoRNAs) which act as guides in the the modification of uridines to pseudouridines. The record is from RNAcentral. Lineage: Eukaryota; Metazoa; Chordata; Mammalia; Artiodactyla; Suidae.
CUGAAAGAAAAUCUAUGUUGAUCAUAUUUGAUUUUGCCUUUUUGGGGGUAAAAUCAUGACAGAUUGACAUGAACAGGU